This is a non-coding RNA of Cicer arietinum (chickpea), 553 nucleotides long. NCBI's taxonomy places the organism in Eukaryota, Viridiplantae, Streptophyta, Magnoliopsida, Fabales, Fabaceae. The record is from RefSeq and is a predicted model, not a curated record.
UCUAUUGCCUUGAUCAUUGUGGAUCAUCUCAGUUCGAUUGUUAUGCUCUUGCCAAACUGCUACGCAUGAAUAGGUCGUUCCAAGAUCAAUGGCAGGUCCAUCAUAUUUUUUGGCCAUUGUCUUUGUAGUGAUGGAAAGCUGUUCUAGAGAGGAUCUGAAUUGCUUAUAGAGAAAGAAAGGAUUUGAAUUCAGAGUUUGGAAGAGAAAGAGAUACAACAUUGAUGUAUAUUUCAGGACUACCGUUUGAACUGAAAAGGUCAAUCAAGUGUAGGAGUUCUUGUUUUGCAGGAUUUAGCUUGUGAUUUUACUCAUAUUGUCUCAAAAAUCAUCUUGCUGGUCAAAUUGGUGACAUCAUACUACUGGCAGCUUCAUGUUCAUCAAGGAAUGAUGUUAUUGUCAAGUACUAACUAUAUGAUCUCCAAAUAUCUUCAACUCUCAUUGAAUUGACUCAUAACUUUGUUCCAAUCUACAAUAUCUUGCUUACAUACCAAACGGCAACCACACCUCACUAUUUGCAAUGACUGACAGCAAUAACAUUUCAAUACAAAUUCAA